Molecule: ribosomal RNA, 253 nt
Filed under: Cryptosporangium minutisporangium
Lineage: Bacteria; Bacillati; Actinomycetota; Actinomycetes; Cryptosporangiales; Cryptosporangiaceae
Also listed under: 1 other name
Description: partial 16S ribosomal RNA
Rfam family: Bacterial small subunit ribosomal RNA
Source: RNAcentral
UACGUAGGGUGCAAGCGUUGUCCGGAAUUAUUGGGCGUAAAGAGCUCGUAGGCGGCUAGUCGCGUCGACUGUGAAAACCCGGGGCUCAACUCCGGGCCUGCAGUCGAUACGGGCUGGCUUGAGUGCGGUAGGGGAGACUGGAAUUCCUGGUGUAGCGGUGAAAUGCGCAGAUAUCAGGAGGAACACCGGUGGCGAAGGCGGGUCUCUGGGCCGUAACUGACGCUGAGGAGCGAAAGCGUGGGGAGCGAACAGG